UCCAAUGCCAAACUUGAUGAUGUGGUUGA
RNAcentral lists this small RNA (29 nucleotides) under Bombyx mori (domestic silkworm). RNAcentral describes it as "ovarian small RNA-26597". The record is from RNAcentral. Lineage: Eukaryota; Metazoa; Arthropoda; Insecta; Lepidoptera; Bombycidae.